GCCUAAAAACUAGCCCACCCACCACAACAAUAAGAUCUUACUAAACCCCCCACAAGAACUAAAAACAACAAACAAAUCAUUUUUCCACCCCAGUAUGGGAGACAGAAAAGGAACAAGGAGCAAUAGACAGAGUACCGCAAGGGAAAGUUGAAAGAGAAAUGAAAAAACUCAUCUAAGCCAAUGAAAGCAGAGACUAGAACUCGUACCUUUUGCAUCAUGAUUUAGUUAGAAGCCCUCAGGCAAAGUGCCCUGUAGUCUGGACCCCCGAAACUGAAGCGAGCUACUCCAAGAUAGCCUGUAAUUUAGGGCAAACCCGUCUCUGUGGCAAAAGAGUGGGAAAAUCUUCAAGUAGAGGUGACAAGCCUACCGAGCUCAGUUAUAGVCUGGUUGCCUGGAAAAUGAAUAUAAGUUCAGCCCCUCGGCCCCCCACCCCAAGCGGGAAUAACCCCGCCAGGCCCCGGAGGAGCCAAGGGAGUUAGUCAAAAGAGGUACAGCUCUUUUGAAAAAGAUACAACUUAAUCAGGAGGCCAAAGAUCAUAUAAAAUUAUCCCA
RNAcentral lists this ribosomal RNA (552 nucleotides) under Percopsis omiscomaycus. Its description in RNAcentral is "partial 16S large subunit ribosomal RNA". The stretch from base 185 to 552 matches the Rfam family "Bacterial large subunit ribosomal RNA", at positions 568 to 1063 of the family's 2925-position model. The record is from RNAcentral. Lineage: Eukaryota; Metazoa; Chordata; Actinopteri; Percopsiformes; Percopsidae.